AACGAACGCUGGCGGCAGGCCUAACACAUGCAAGUCGAACGCCGUAGCAAUACGGAGUGGCAGACGGGUGAGUAACACGUGGGAACGUACCUUUCGGUUCGGAAUAACUCAGGGAAACUUGAGCUAAUACCGGAUACGUGCGAGAGCAGAAAGAUUUAUCGCCGAAAGAUCGGCCCGCGUCCGAUUAGCUUGUUGGUGAGGUAACGGCUCACCAAGGCGACGAUCGGUAGCUGGUCUGAGAGGAUGAUCAGCCACACUGGGACUGAGACACGGCCCAGACUCCUACGGGAGGCAGCAGUGGGGAAUAUUGGACAAUAGGCGGCAAGACCUCGAUCCACGCCA
RNAcentral lists this ribosomal RNA (342 nucleotides) under uncultured bacterium. RNAcentral describes it as "bacterial SSU rRNA". It matches the Rfam family "Bacterial small subunit ribosomal RNA", at positions 29 to 394 of the family's 1533-position model. The record is from RNAcentral.